RNAcentral lists this ribosomal RNA (424 nucleotides) under uncultured bacterium. Its description in RNAcentral is "bacterial SSU rRNA". It matches the Rfam family "Bacterial small subunit ribosomal RNA", at positions 358 to 773 of the family's 1533-position model. The record is from RNAcentral.
GGAAUAUUGGUCAAUGGGCGAAAGCCUGAUGCAGCGACGCCGCGUGGGUGACGAAGGCCUUCGGGUUGUAAAGCCCUGUGGGGAGGGACGAACACGUCAAGGUCAAAUAGGCCUGGGCGCUGACGGUAUCUCCUUAGCAAGCACCAGCUAACUCUGUGCCAGCAGCCGCGGUAAGACAGAGGGUGCAAACGUUGUUCGGAUUUACUGGGCGUAUAGCGUGUGUAGGCGGCUUGGCAAGUUGGAUGUGAAAGCCCACGGCUCAACCGUGGAAGCGCAUCCAAAACUGCUUCGCUCGAGUCUCGGAGAGGAAGGUGGAAUGCUUGGUGUAGAGGUGAAAUUCGUAGAUAUCAAGCAGAACACCUGCGGCGAAGGCGGCCUUCUGGACGAUGACUGACGCUGAGACACGAAAGCGUGGGGAGCAAAC